RNAcentral lists this ribosomal RNA (459 nucleotides) under uncultured bacterium. Its description in RNAcentral is "partial 16S ribosomal RNA". It matches the Rfam family "Bacterial small subunit ribosomal RNA", at positions 30 to 507 of the family's 1533-position model. The record is from RNAcentral.
AUUGAACGCUGGCGGCAGGCCUAACACAUGCAAGUCGAGCGGAUGAAUGGGGCUUGCUCCUGGAUUCCGCGGCGGACGGCUGAGUAAUGCCUCGGACUCUGCCUGGUAGUGGGGGAUAACGUCCGGUAAUGGGCGCUAAUACCGCUUACGUCCAGAGGUAGAACCUGGGGGAUCUUCAGGCCUCGCGAUAUAGGAUGAGCGUGGGACGGAUUAGCUAGUCGGUGGGGUAAAGGCCUACCAAGGCGACGAUCCGUAACUGGGAUGAGAGGAUGAUCAGCCACACUGGGACUGAGACACGGUGGAGAAUACUACGGGAGGCAGGAGUGGGGAAUAUUGGACAAUGGGCGCAAGGAUGAAGGAGCCAUGACGGGUGAGUGAUGAAGGUUUUAGGGUUGUAAAGUAAUUUUGUCCGGGACGAUAAUGACGGUACCGGAAGAAUAAGCACCGGCUAACUUCGUG